AUGGAAGGACCGUCUGACGGCCAACUGAUCCCCUCCACCGCAGGAGACCCUCACCUCAACAGCUCGGCCGCGCCCAUGGACGCCACCAGCAGCGGCUCGCAGCACGUCGCGACGCUGCGGAAGCUGCUGUUCCGGAGGAUGCUGGUCGGGGUGAACGACGGCCGCUACUUCCUGGGGCUGUUCCACUGCGUCGACAAGCAGGGGAACAUAAUCCUGCAGGACGCGGUGGAGUACCGCAGCGCGCGCCGCUCAUCCCCGUCGGCGCCGAAGGAGGAGCGGUGCCUCGGGCUCAUCCUGAUCCCGGCGUCCUGCCGCUCGUCCUGCCAUGUCGACUGCUUCAUCGAAGAGCAGAUGGCCCUGCUGUCCCUGUGCAAGUGA
RNAcentral lists this ribosomal RNA (378 nucleotides) under Triticum aestivum (bread wheat). Its description in RNAcentral is "partial small subunit ribosomal RNA". The record is from RNAcentral. Lineage: Eukaryota; Viridiplantae; Streptophyta; Magnoliopsida; Poales; Poaceae.